RNAcentral lists this ribosomal RNA (373 nucleotides) under uncultured bacterium. Its description in RNAcentral is "bacterial SSU rRNA". It matches the Rfam family "Bacterial small subunit ribosomal RNA", at positions 525 to 896 of the family's 1533-position model. The record is from RNAcentral.
ACAGAGGGUGCGAGCGUUGUCCGGAAUCACUGGGCGUAAAGGGCGCGUAGGCGGCUUGAUAAGUAGGGGGUGAAAUCCUGUGGCUUAACUGCAGGGCUGCCUCCUAGACUGUCUGGCUUGAGCACGGUAGAGGCAGAUGGAAUUCCCGGUGUAGCGGUGGAAUGCGUAGAGAUCGGGAAGAACAUCGGUGGCGAAGGCGGUCUGCUGGGCCGUUGCUGACGCUGAGGCGCGACAGCGUGGGGAGCAAACAGGAUUAGAUACCCUGGUAGUCCACGCCGUAAACGAUGGACACUAGGCGUCGGGGGGAGCGACCCUCUCGGUGCCGUCGCUAACGCAGUAAGUGUCCCGCCUGGGGAGUACGGCCGCAAGGCUG